Non-coding RNA from Manis javanica (Malayan pangolin), 476 nucleotides. The record is from RefSeq and is a predicted model, not a curated record. NCBI's taxonomy places the organism in Eukaryota, Metazoa, Chordata, Mammalia, Pholidota, Manidae.
CAGGUACACAGCAAGCAAUAACAGUGGAAGAGGAACCUGGCCAUGUGGGCCCCUUGCCGUACUCCCCACACCAGGAGGUUGUGCAACCUCUGGCAUGUUCAUGUGACCGUUGCGCCACACAAAUGAAAAACCAGGACAAGACUGACCAGCCAUGUUUCUGGAGUCGAGGGCUCCUCUGCGAGGGGCACCAUCUGGACACAGCAAGAAGGCAGCUGUCCGUAAGCCAGGAAGCAGGCCGUCCCGAGGACCCCAACCAGCCGGCACCUUGAUCUUCCAGCCUCCAGAACGGAAGCUGCUUUGCUGGAGAGAGCCUGGCUGCCUGCGCUAGUUUCCGGCAGUAAGAAAGGACUGCCUUGGACUGGAGGAGGGCCUGCCAGCUGGAGUGUGUCAGGGCCAAGGUGAGACUCCAAAUCCCAGAAGACAUCUCCGAGAGGCCUUUGGAAUUUCAUCAAGUGUUUAGAAUGGCAACAGGCUCC